GCCGGUGUGGUGAAAUUGGUAUACACGACGGAUUCAAAAUCCGUUGCCUUCUGGCGUGGCGGUUCAAGUCCGCCCACCGGUACCA
This 85-nucleotide transfer RNA is filed under the name Vibrio parahaemolyticus. RNAcentral describes it as "tRNA-Leu". It matches the Rfam family "tRNA". Rfam says of the family: Transfer RNA (tRNA) molecules are approximately 80 nucleotides in length. The record is from RNAcentral. Lineage: Bacteria; Pseudomonadati; Pseudomonadota; Gammaproteobacteria; Vibrionales; Vibrionaceae.